UACGUAGGUGACAAGCGUUGUCCGGAUUUACUGGGCGUAAAGAGCGCGCAGGCGGUCGUUCAAGUCGAGUGUGAAAGCUCCCGGCUCAACUGGGGAGGGUCACUCGAUACUGAUCGACUCGAAGGCAGGAGAGGGUAGUGGAAUUCCCGGUGUAGUGGUGAAAUGCGUAGAUAUCGGGAGGAACACCAGUGGCGAAGGCGACUACCUGGCCUGUUCUUGACGCUGAGGCGCGAAAGCUAGGGGAGCAAACGGG
This 253-nucleotide ribosomal RNA is filed under the name uncultured bacterium. RNAcentral's name for it is "partial 16S ribosomal RNA". It matches the Rfam family "Bacterial small subunit ribosomal RNA", at positions 524 to 776 of the family's 1533-position model. The record is from RNAcentral.